CUCAGUAACACGUGGAUAAUCUGCCCUUAGGUGGAGGAUAAUCUCGGGAAACUGAGGAUAAUACUCCAUAGAUCUAGAAUGCUGGAAUGCAUCUAGAUUGAAAGCUCCGGCGCCUAAGGAUGAGUCUGCGGACUAUCAGGUUGUAGUCAGGGUAAAGACCUGACUAGCCUACGACGGAUACGGGUUGUGAGAGCAAUAACCCGGAGACGAUAUCUGAGACACGAUAUCGGGCCCUACGGGGCGCAGCAGGCGCGAAAACUUCACACUGUGCGAAAGCGCGAUGAGGGAAUCCCAAGUGUUUGCUCGUAAGAGUAAACUGUUUCUUUGUUUAAAACGCAGAGAGAGUAAGGGCUGGGUAAGACGGGUGCCAGCCGCCGCGGUAAUACCUGCAGCUCAAGUGGUGAUCAUUAUUAUUGGGCCUAAAACGUCCGUAGCCGGUUUAGUAAAUGCCUGGGUAAAUCGUGUAGCUUAACUAUACGACUUCCGGGUAGACUGCUAAACUUGAGACCGGGAGAGGCUAGAGGUACUCCUGGGGUAGAGGUGAAAUUCUGUAAUCCUAGGGGGACCACCAGUGGCGAAGGCGUCUAGCUAGAACGGGUCUGACGGUGAGGGACGAAGCCCUGGGGCACAAACCGGAUUAGAUACCCGGGUAGUCCAGGGUGUAAACGCUGCUUGCUUGAUGUUAGUUGGGCUCCGAGCCCAACUAGUGUCGGAGAGAAGUUGUUAAGCAAGCUGCCUGGGAAGUACGGUCGCAAGGCUGAAACUAAAG
This 769-nucleotide ribosomal RNA is filed under the name uncultured archaeon. RNAcentral describes it as "bacterial SSU rRNA". It matches the Rfam family "Archaeal small subunit ribosomal RNA", at positions 89 to 861 of the family's 1478-position model. The record is from RNAcentral.